Molecule: transfer RNA, 57 nt
Filed under: Dermatophagoides farinae (American house dust mite)
Lineage: Eukaryota; Metazoa; Arthropoda; Arachnida; Sarcoptiformes; Pyroglyphidae
Description: tRNA-Gly
Source: RNAcentral
AACUUUUUAGUAUAUAAAGUAUAAUUAAUUUCCAAUUAAUAGGAUACUUGAAAGUUU